GGAUGCGAUAAUACCAGCACUAACGCACUGGAUCCCAUCCGAACUCUGAAGUUUAGCGUGCUCGAGCGAGAGUAGUACUAGGAUGGGGGACCCCAGGGAAGUCCUUGUGUUGCAUCCC
Molecule: ribosomal RNA, 118 nt
Organism: Lycium ferocissimum
Lineage: Eukaryota; Viridiplantae; Streptophyta; Magnoliopsida; Solanales; Solanaceae
Source: RefSeq, a predicted model, not a curated record